CCUACGGGCGGCUGCAGUGGGGAAUUUUGCACAAUGGGCGCAAGCCUGAUGGAGCAACGCCGCGUGUGUGAUGAAGGUCUUCGGAUCGUAAAGCACUUUCGACCGGGACGAAAAACUCAUUGCUAACAUCGAUGAGCCUGACGGUACCGGGAGAAGAAGCACCGGCUAACUCUGUGCCAGCAGCCGCGGUAAUACAGAGGGUGCAAGCGUUGUUCGGAAUUAUUGGGCGUAAAGCGCGUGUAGGCGGCUUAUCAAGUCAGAUGUGAAAGCCCUCGGCUCAACCGAGGAAGUGCGUCUGAAACUGGUGAGCUUGAGUGCCGGAGAGGGUAGCGGAAUUCCGCAAGUAGAGGUGAAAUUCGUAGAGAUGCGGAGGAACACCGGUGGCGAAGGCGGCUACCUGGACGGCAACUGACGCUGAGACGCGAAAGCGUGGGGAGCAAACAGGAUUAGAUACCCGUGUAGUC
This 464-nucleotide ribosomal RNA is filed under the name uncultured Archangiaceae bacterium. RNAcentral describes it as "bacterial SSU rRNA". It matches the Rfam family "Bacterial small subunit ribosomal RNA", at positions 338 to 795 of the family's 1533-position model. The record is from RNAcentral. Lineage: Bacteria; Pseudomonadati; Myxococcota; Myxococcia; Myxococcales; Archangiaceae.